GUGGUUUGGAUAAUUCAGUUUCAGAUAUCAUCAACAUAAUUUUAUUAUUGGGUAAAUAUCAUAUCCACUGUGCGAAAUGGAGAAAUAACAAGCCCUCCUUUUCUGGAUUUACAAACACAUUUAAAAUGUUUGUCUUGUCCCUAAGAAAAUUAGAAAAAAAAACAAAACAAAAACAAAACUACAAUGAAAAUAAGCCAGAACAGUGCUCGUUAUUUAUUAUUUUAACUUAAAGAA
Long non-coding RNA from Sphaeramia orbicularis (orbiculate cardinalfish), 234 nucleotides. RefSeq lists it as uncharacterized. The transcript is spliced from 3 exons. The record is from RefSeq and is a predicted model, not a curated record. Lineage: Eukaryota; Metazoa; Chordata; Actinopteri; Kurtiformes; Apogonidae.